UGGGGAAUAUUGGACAAUGGGCGCAAGCCUGAUCCAGCCAUGCCGCGUGGGUGAAGAAGGCCUUCGGGUUGUAAAGCCCUUUUGUCCGGAAAGAAAUCCUGUCGGUUAAUACCCGGCGGGGAUGACGGUACCGGAAGAAUAAGCACCGGCUAACUUCGUGCCAGCAGCCGCGGUAAUACGAAGGGUGCAAGCGUUACUCGGAAUUACUGGGCGUAAAGCGUGCGUAGGCGGUUCGUUAAGUCCGGUGUGAAAGCCCUGGGCUCAACGUGGGUACUGUAUUUGAUACUGGCGAGCUGGAGUGCGGUGGAGGAUGGUGGAAUUCCCGGUGUAGCGGUGAAAUGCGUAGAGAUCGGGGGGAACACCAGUGGCGAAGGCGGCCAUCUGGAGCAGAACUGACGCUGAGGCACGAAAGCGUGGGG
Molecule: ribosomal RNA, 419 nt
Filed under: uncultured bacterium
Lineage: Bacteria
Description: bacterial SSU rRNA
Rfam family: Bacterial small subunit ribosomal RNA
Source: RNAcentral